This 119-nucleotide ribosomal RNA is filed under the name Pteropus alecto (black flying fox). Lineage: Eukaryota; Metazoa; Chordata; Mammalia; Chiroptera; Pteropodidae. The record is from RNAcentral.
GUCUAUGGCCAUGCCACCCUGAACAUGCCCAAUCCCAUCUGAUCUAGGAAGCUAAGCAGGGUCGGGCCUGGUUAGUACUUGGACGGGAGACCGCCUAGAAAGACCAGGUGCUGUAGGCG